Molecule: ribosomal RNA, 526 nt
Filed under: Plectosphaerella cucumerina
Lineage: Eukaryota; Fungi; Ascomycota; Sordariomycetes; Glomerellales; Plectosphaerellaceae
Description: eukaryotic LSU rRNA
Rfam family: 5.8S ribosomal RNA (bases 141-294)
Source: RNAcentral
CAUUUGGGCGCUACCACUCUACCCUUUGUGACUAUUAUACCUGUUGCUUCGGCGGCGCCCGCAAGGGUGCCCGCCGGUCUCAUCAGAAUCUCUGUUUUCGAACCCGACGAUACUUCUGAGUGUUCUUAGCGAACUGUCAAAACUUUUAACAACGGAUCUCUUGGCUCCAGCAUCGAUGAAGAACGCAGCGAAACGCGAUAUGUAAUGUGAAUUGCAGAAUUCAGUGAAUCAUCGAAUCUUUGAACGCACAUGGCGCCUUCCAGUAUCCUGGGAGGCAUGCCUGUCCGAGCGUCGUUUCAACCCUCGAGCCCCUGUGGCCCGGCGUUGGGGAUCUGCCACGGCAGGCCCCUAAAACCAGUGGCGGACCCGAAGGCCCUCUCCUUUGCGCAGUAGCAUCAGCCUCGCAUUGGGAUCCCUCGGCGUCCUGCCUCUAAACCCCCCACAAGUCCGCUCCGGCGGCACCAAGGUUGACCUCGGAUCAGGUAGGAAUACCCGCUGAACUUAAGCAUAUCAAUAAGCGGAGGAA